AUUUGAUCUAAAAUAGUUUUCUUCUCUGUGACCUCGGCCUUAACUCUAACAUCGUCAUCUUCUGUGUCUGCCUCUGUGGAGAUGGGGUGCGUGGGUCAAGACCCUUGCCUCCUGGUCUUGAGGCACUUCUGUCAGUAGCUCGCAAACAUGGCUGCAAGCUGGUACUAGCCAUUGGGUGUUUGCUUUGUUUUUUAAUUGGAAGAUAAUUGCUUUACAGUGUUACAGUACAGGUGUCCAUUGGCAGAUGAAUGGAUUAGAAGUUAUGGUACGCAUACACAAUGUAACAUUACUUAGGUACUGGAUUUUACCAAACAGUAAGACAAUUGUGAAUCAGUAGGGCUGGGAAUGGAUCUAGAUAUGCAUAUUCUGAAAAAGCUCCACAGGUAGUUCUGACUUAUAACUUCAGGGAGACUCAGUGUAGACUAGUGAUACAUCCACAAUUGAAUUCUAGUUAUGAUACUCUGGGUGGGGUGGGGGCUUCCCAGGUGGUGCCAGUGGUAAAGAACCUGCUUGCCAAUGCUGGAGACAUAAGAGACGCAGGUUCAAUCCCUGGAUUGGGAAGAUGCCUUAGAGUAGGAAAUGGCAACCCAGUCCAGUAUCCUUGCCUGGGGAAUCCCAUGGACAGAAGAGCCUGGCAGGCUACAGUCCGUGGGGUCGCAAAUAGUUGGACACGACUGAAGCAACUUAACACGCAUGUUGGGCAGUAAAUGAUCUCCAGGGGUCUUUGUGACUUGAGGAGGGGUUCGUGUUCUUCUCUGCCUCUUCUAGGACAAAGCUGCCAGUGUCCUACCCCUGAAGCAUGUUCCCAUGCCACAGAGGGGCAAGUGAGGAGAGAGGGAUGAAGAGAAACCCUGAUAUAGGUUCCUAAUGAACACGGUACUCAGACCAGACAGGAACAUCCUGUCUUCCAUUUCCAUUAUACCAGCAAAUCCAAUUUUUACAAUAUAUUGUCCAGCACUCAAUGGAGAGGCAUGGCUUGUAAAUGUGACUUGGAUUCUUGCAAUUAGUAAAUGAAAAAUAGUUGUCUUUGGAUCUGUUCAUGCUGCUAAUUGAACUUGUGCAUGAAAGUCAACCAAAAUAAUUUUAUGCCAUGG
This 1094-nucleotide long non-coding RNA is filed under the name Capra hircus (goat). Its description in RNAcentral is "lncRNA (ENSCHIG00010013649.1)". The record is from RNAcentral. Lineage: Eukaryota; Metazoa; Chordata; Mammalia; Artiodactyla; Bovidae.